Molecule: long non-coding RNA, 1315 nt
Organism: Cyprinus carpio (common carp)
Lineage: Eukaryota; Metazoa; Chordata; Actinopteri; Cypriniformes; Cyprinidae
Source: Ensembl
GUAUUAAGGUAGAAUUUUAUUAAAAAUAUAAUGCAUUUGCAGUAUACUUGGCAUUAAAUAAAUGUAUUUAUGGCAUGCAUAAUACAGCGAUCGUUUUCAUGGAUCCAUGUAAAUGGGGAUUCUUUUGACAAAUUCUGUGAAACUUCUCAAAAACACAAAGGAAAAACUUUUCAGUUUUUAGUACAAUUGUUGCAAUGUAUAAAUACCCUAUACAGACAUGGAAUAAAAUCCACAAAACACUCAUUUUCUUUGUUAAAAUACAAGUGUAUAUAAGGCUAGGUUUGGUGUUUUCAUUCAUUUUUGGUAGGAAUUAAAUGAGUUUCUGCCUUGAUCUGAAUGCUCAGAGAAUGUUUUCCGUAUGUUAAAAGCUUUUGCUUUGCUCUCUCCUUGCUGAGGCGCCGGUGUAUCUGAAGAGAACGCAGGGUCUCGCCAGGUCUCCCCAUACUUUAGGGCCCGUUGCAAAGCGACGUGCAGCCCAUGGCUAUGUCUGCAUUGAGUAAACUGUCAGUCCCCUUUUCAAAAGCUGCCCUGUUACCACGGCAACAGGCUCAAUGUCUCCGUCACUGCCAUUCAGGAUUUCACAGCCUCUGAAAACGGCGGAAGCAGGUCCCACACCAACGUCAUCUCUCAUCUUCCAGCCUUUAACACCAGACAGGUUGUGUUGUGCUGCGAGGGCUCGUGGGCCAGUGUUUCAGAUAAAGCUGCUUCGUUUCCUCUGCUCUUGGCUUCCUGUCACCAUGGAGAUGCCUCCCUGCCACAAUGCCUCUGUCUCAUUACGGAUUCUUCCCAAAGGUCCUGGAAGUGAUGUUUGGUCUUGCCUGACAAUGUGGGAUGGAGUUCAGACCUCCUGGAGAAAGAGUUUGCGGUGCAGCUGAGGGCCAAUGGCGCAGGACUAAUCCUGGUUGUCUUAGCAACCGACCAGCUGCUGCCUGUCUUCCACCAUAAAAGCCAUUCAGACUCUCAUUUUUCUUUUGACUUUUGUACAAAUCACUAUCUUUUCAUAUUCAUCACACAUAUAUAUUUUAUGCCCUCAUCCUUGCACAUCUGUGAUUUGGAGAGGUAUUCUGAGUGCAGUUGUUGCUCAUCUGAUAGGAGCUGGGACGUGAUAAUAUUCUGCAAUAGGAAUAAGUCAGACCCCCCCCCCAGAAAUGCUCUGUUUCUGUGUCAGAGUAACAUUUAUAUAUACGUUUAUAUGAAUGUGACGGUGCGCUAAAUCAACUCUUUAAAACAGUGGAAUUUUAUUUUUAAAAAUCUAUGAAAAAUUCCAUGAGACAUUUUCUGAACAUUAAGUAAAAUAAAUUAAAAUAAAAUUACA